RNAcentral lists this ribosomal RNA (351 nucleotides) under Salmonella enterica subsp. enterica serovar Typhimurium. Its description in RNAcentral is "bacterial SSU rRNA". It matches the Rfam family "Bacterial small subunit ribosomal RNA", at positions 65 to 418 of the family's 1533-position model. The record is from RNAcentral. Lineage: Bacteria; Pseudomonadati; Pseudomonadota; Gammaproteobacteria; Enterobacterales; Enterobacteriaceae.
AACAGGAAGCAGCUUGCUGCUUCGCUUACGAGUGGCGGACGGGUGAGUAAUGUCUGGGAAACUGCCUGAUGGAGGGGGAUAACUACUGGAAACGGUGGCUAAUACCGCAUAACGUCGCAAGACCAAAGAGGGGGACCUUCGGGCCUCUUGCCAUCAGAUGUGCCCAGAUGGGAUUAGCUAGUUGGUGAGGUAACGGCUCACCAAGGCGACGAUCCCUAGCUGGUCUGAGAGGAUGACCAGCCACACUGGAACUGAGACACGGUCCAGACUCCUACGGGAGGCAGCAGUGGGGAAUAUUGCACAAUGGGCGCAAGCCUGAUGCAGCCAUGCCGCGUGUAUGAAGAAGGCCUU